UUUUACCUUCAGGGCGAGGCGAAAUUCCUCACCGGUGGUGAAAGCCCACGAGCUCCAAGAGCAUGAUCUGGUGGAAUACCAGAGCCGACGGUAUAGUCCGGAUGAAAGAAGGCUGAU
RNAcentral lists this non-coding RNA (117 nucleotides) under Candidatus Doudnaibacteriota. Its description in RNAcentral is "Candidatus Doudnabacteria FMN sequence". It matches the Rfam family "FMN riboswitch aptamer (RFN element)". Rfam says of the family: The RFN element is a highly conserved domain that is found frequently in the 5'-untranslated regions of prokaryotic mRNAs that encode for flavin mononucleotide (FMN) biosynthesis and transport proteins. The record is from RNAcentral.